GAUGAAGAACGCAGCGAAAUGCGAUACGUAAUGUGAAUUGCAAAUUCAGUGAAUCAUCGAGUCUUUGAACGCACAUUGCGCCCCCUGGUAUUCCGGGGGGCAUGCCUGUCCGAGCGUCAUUGCUGCCCUCAAGCACGGCUUGUGUGUUGGGCCCCGUCCUCCGAUCCCGGGGGACGGGCCCGAAAGGCAGCGACGGCACCGCGUCCGGUCCUCGAGCGUAUGGGGCUUUGUCACCCGCUCUGUAGGCCCGGCCGGCGCUUGCCGAUCAACCCAAAUUUUUAUCCAGGUUGACCUCGAAUCAGGUAGGGAUACCCGCUGAACUUAAGCAUAUCAAUAAGCGGAGGA
Molecule: unclassified non-coding RNA, 345 nt
Filed under: soil metagenome
Description: partial contains 5.8S ribosomal RNA, internal transcribed spacer 2, and large subunit ribosomal RNA
Rfam family: 5.8S ribosomal RNA (bases 1-119)
Source: RNAcentral